UGCUGGUCCUAUUCCUGGUUC
RNAcentral lists this non-coding RNA (21 nucleotides) under Rattus norvegicus (Norway rat). The record is from RNAcentral. Lineage: Eukaryota; Metazoa; Chordata; Mammalia; Rodentia; Muridae.